UGAUGACGAGACGCUAAGGCGUUGAAGCAGUGUAUGUCAGACUUCCAAGAAAAGCUCGCAAUGUCACAAAUAAAGAAUGCCUGUACCAUAACCGACACAGGUGGGUAGGUAGAGUAUACUAAGGGGCGCGAGAUAACUCUCUCUAAGGAACUCGGCAAAAUGACUCCGUAACUUCGGGAGAAGGAGUGCCUUAUUUAUAAGGUUGCAAUAACAAGAUCCAAGCAACUGUUUAUCAAAAACACAGGUCUCCGCUAAGUCGUAAGACGAUGUAUGGGGGCUGACGCCUGCCCAGUGCCAGAAGGUUAAAGAAGUUGGUUAGUGUAUGCGAAGCUGAUGACUGAAGCCCUGGUGAACGGCGGCCGUAACUAUAACGGUCCUAAGGUAGCGAAAUUCCUUGUCGGGUAAGUUCCGACCCGCACGAAAGGCGUAAUGAUUUGGAUACUGUCUCGGAGAGAGGCUCGGUGAAAUAGACUUGUCUGUGAAGAUGCGGACUACCUGCACCAGGACAGAAAGACCCUAUGAAGCUUUACUGUAACUUGAAAUUGGAAUUGGACUUUGCUUGCGCAGUAUAGGUGGGAAGCGUUGAAAAUAUUCUUGCGGGAGUAUUGGAGCUAUCAGUGAGAUACAACUCUUGUAAUGUUAGAUUUCUAACUUUGAACCAUAAUCUGGUCAAAGAACAGUUUCAGGUGGGCAGUUUGACUGGGGCGGUCGCCUCCCAAAUGGUAACGGAGGCGUACAAAGGUUUCCUCUGAACGGAUAGAAAUCGUAUCUAGAGUGUAAAGGCAUAAGGAAGCUUGACUGUGAGACCUACAAGUCGAGCAGGGACGAAAGUCGGUCUUAGUGAUCUGACGGUACUGAGUGGAAAGGCCGUCACUCAACGGAUAAAAGUUACUCUAGGAUAACAGGCUGAUCUCCCCCAAGAGUUCACAUCGACGGGGAGGUUUGGCACCUCGAUGUCGGCUCAUCGCAUCCUGGGGCGGUAGUACGUCCCAAGGGUUGGGCUGUUCGCCCAUGAAAGCGGUACGCGAGCUGGGUUCAGAACGUCGUGAGACAGUUCGGUCCAUAUCCGGUGUAGGCGCUAGAAUAUUGAGAGGAGCCUUCUUUAGUACGAGAGGACCGAGAAGGACACACCGCUGGUGUACCAGUUAUCGUGCCAACGGUAAACGCUGGGUAGCUAUGUGUGGAGUGGAUAACCGCUGAAAGCAUCUAAGUGGGAAGCCCACCUCGAGAUGAGUAUUCCC
This 1241-nucleotide ribosomal RNA is filed under the name metagenome. RNAcentral describes it as "bacterial LSU rRNA". It matches the Rfam family "Bacterial large subunit ribosomal RNA", at positions 1564 to 2815 of the family's 2925-position model. The record is from RNAcentral.